RNAcentral lists this ribosomal RNA (459 nucleotides) under uncultured Stenotrophomonas sp. RNAcentral describes it as "bacterial SSU rRNA". It matches the Rfam family "Bacterial small subunit ribosomal RNA", at positions 64 to 512 of the family's 1533-position model. The record is from RNAcentral. Lineage: Bacteria; Pseudomonadati; Pseudomonadota; Gammaproteobacteria; Lysobacterales; Lysobacteraceae.
GAACGGCAGCACAGAGGAGCUUGCUCCUUGGGUGGCGAGUGGCGGACGGGUGAGGAAUACAUCGGAAUCUACUCUGUCGUGGGGGAUAACGUAGGGAAACUUACGCUAAUACCGCAUACGACCUACGGGUGAAAGCAGGGGAUCUUCGGACCUUGCGCGAUUGAAUGAGCCGAUGUCGGAUUAGCUAGUUGGCGGGGUAAAGGCCCACCAAGGCGACGAUCCGUAGCUGGUCUGAGAGGAUGAUCAGCCACACUGGAACUGAGACACGGUCCAGACUCCUACGGGAGGCAGCAGUGGGGAAUAUUGGACAAUGGGCGCAAGCUUGAUCCAGCCAUACCGCGUGGGUGAAGAAGGCCUUCGGGUUGUAAAGCCCUUUUGUUGGGAAAGAAAUCCAGCUGGCUAAUACCCGGUUGGGAUGACGGUACCCAAAGAAUAAGCACCGGCUAACUUCGUGCCAGC